Molecule: long non-coding RNA, 2396 nt
Organism: Piliocolobus tephrosceles (Ugandan red Colobus)
Lineage: Eukaryota; Metazoa; Chordata; Mammalia; Primates; Cercopithecidae
Source: Ensembl
CCCAGCCCUCGGCCAGCCCAGGAGGAGUGCAGGGAAGGCUGUCCCUGGGCUCCCCGUCAGCGAAAGCGGGAUUUCUCUGCAGUGAGCCCCGUCUGGCUGUGGCUGUCCUGCACUGCCUCUUGUCUGUGUCUUCCAGACCCUCAGAAGCCAAUAACGGCCCCCCAGCUCUUCCCCACUUCUCCGCAGGCUGCAUCCCUGAGGCGCCCAUGCAGCCAGGCCAGCACCCCUCGGAGACCCCACCAGCUUCGGGGUCCUCAGGCUACAAAGGCCCCACCCAUUCCUGGAGUCCUGGCAACCCCUGAGUUCUCUGGGGAAGGGGGCCAUAGAGCUCCCUGUACAGCAAUCUCAAAAAGCAAAACCAGAUAUAAAGGCAACUAGACGCCAGUUAGAUUUCCUGAAGACAAUUUCCUCUCCUCCUUCAUUACUCACAGGUUUUCCGGGUCCCCUCCCUCCCUCCCCAGACCCAAGUGGGCUGAGGGCUGGUUCUCUGUAGCGUCCCAGGAGGAAAGAAGCACAGCAGGGAGCUGGUCGUUCCAGAACCUUCUCCUCCAGGGUCAGAAUGGGCGGGAGUUGCCUUUGGUGUCCACUUUAGGGGCAAGUGCAUCCUGCCUCUCGCCAGGAGGACCCCUCCGUCUACUCACUGCUGCCCCUCGCCAGGAGGACCCCUCCGUCCACUCACCGCUGCCCCUCGCCAGGAGGACCCCUCCGUCCACUCACCGCUGCCUCUCGCCAGGAGGACCCCUCCGUCCACUCACCACUGCCCCUCGCCAGGAGGACCCCUCCGUCCACUCACCGCUGCCUCUCGCCAGGAGGACCCCUCUGUCCACUCACCGUCUGGGAUGGACUUUGGAGGUGGAGCCAGCCACCCCCUGACCUCCCAGCUCCUGCCUCUCACACCUGGGGAUACAGGCAGGACUAGGUCCAGGAAGUGAAAGUGUCCUAAGGAAAGAUGGAGCGGCGUCCACUCCCGCCCAUGUGGUGCCCAGUGCGGAGUGGUGCCCGGUGCGGAGGAGCGGCUGGGCAGGCAGAGGUCGGUUUCUGAUUCUCCCUCCUCAAAGAUGUCCGGUCCAGCAGCAGGAUGAGCAGCACCAUGGGAAGGCCACAUGUUUCACUCACACGACCCAGGAGGGCGUCCUAACCCUGCCGGGGAGGGACGCCUUUGGAAGGGUCAGAAGCGGGUGGUGGCAGGCUGUCUGGGGCAGGGACUGUGGUGUGAAAGUUUGUCAUUUCCAGGGCCAGGAGGUCCCUGUGGGCAUGAGAAGGUCACCUGAGUUUAUAGGGAAGUCAGCUUGUGACAAGCCUUACUGGACAUUCAUUGCCACUGCCCUUUAUUCUGCCAGGAGCUGGGGUGGCCUGGAUCACAGCUGGGGUGGCCUGGAUCACAGCAGGGGCCACAGGAGGCUGUGGCUGUAGCUCAUGGACCCAGACCUGGGGGACCGUGGGAAGGUGUGCAGGAGCAGCCUGGUCCAAGUCGUUCCCCACCCCCGGGGUGCCUGGCACCCACUCUCUGGCCUGCUGCAGGAGAAAGCUCCCAGCAGGGGAUAAACAGGCUCCUCAGUCCCUCCUGGCUCAGACCCCGCAAGUUAGGACCUUAGGGGCUUCUCAAAGCAAACUGUUCAGCCUGCAAUGGACGCCAAGAGCGGAGGCCGGAAGUAAGACGACGUAGGUGGGAGAAACAGGGGCCCUGAGGGCCAGCGUGUCCGUGAGGAAAGAGCCCUCCAGUCACACAUGUUUCAGGAAAGGAAAGUUGCAAUGCUGAGGCUCUGACAGUCACCCCCCACCCCUGUCCCCCGAAAACAAAGUGCCACAAACAAAGCAGGUUUACCGUGGAGAAGGCCCUUGUGUGGAGACUGAGAAACGCAGACAGAGCCCCGUGGAGGCCUGAGCUCGGGGCCACCAGGAGCAGCUGAGCUUCCAGGGGACCUUCGUGCCAAGGCCCACACCUGCCGCUCCACAAGGCCGGCAUCCCUGGGGUCCCUCCCCAGCGGCACAGCAGCCUGAAGGAGACACCCGGAGCCCCUCUCAAGGUCACGGCUGUCGCUGUGCUGAGUGGGUGGGGACAGCGUCUCCAGCUCGGCACCCCUGAAGAACUGUGUUUCAGUCCGGCAGCCUAGUGUCCUCUAGGCUAUGUGGGUCUUGGUCAUUUUAGAAUCUAAUCGUUUCUGUCUCUGUCUCACUUUCAGGGGCGAAACAGGUGUGUAAGGACUCACGUGGCUCGUGGCAAAAGGAUGGGGUGGCCAGGAGUAUUUUGGUAGUGACAGAAGGCUGGUGCCAGGGGACAGGGAAUCUCUAGCUUGGAGCCACCUGCGCUUCUGGCCAGCACAUCCUUCUUCAUCUUGCUGUGUGCCUCGCAGCUUAAAAGUUAAGUGUAAUAACCCCAGCCGAGAAAACAAAAC